RNAcentral lists this transfer RNA (77 nucleotides) under Mycobacterium avium. Its description in RNAcentral is "tRNA-Phe". It matches the Rfam family "tRNA". From Rfam's summary of the family: Transfer RNA (tRNA) molecules are approximately 80 nucleotides in length. Their secondary structure includes four short double-helical elements and three loops (D, anti-codon, and T loops). Lineage: Bacteria; Bacillati; Actinomycetota; Actinomycetes; Mycobacteriales; Mycobacteriaceae. RNAcentral also lists the same sequence under 28 other names. The record is from RNAcentral.
GGCCAGGUAGCUCAGUCGGUACGAGCGUCCGCCUGAAAAGCGGAAGGUCGGCGGUUCGAUCCCGCCCCUGGCCACCG